This 33-nucleotide transfer RNA is filed under the name Dryopteris filix-mas. RNAcentral's name for it is "partial tRNA-His". RNAcentral also lists the same sequence under 1 other name. Lineage: Eukaryota; Viridiplantae; Streptophyta; Polypodiopsida; Polypodiales; Dryopteridaceae. The record is from RNAcentral.
GGCGGACGUAGCCAAGUGGAUUAAGGCAGUAAA